AGAGUUUGAUCCUGGCUCAGAACGAACGCUGGCGGCGUGGAUAAGACAUGCAAGUCGAACGGGAUAUUAUUUGUAGCAAUACAGAUGAUGUUCAGUGGCGCAAGGGUGAGUAACACGUGAGCAACCUGCCUUGAAGUGGGGGAUAGCUCGCCGAAAGGCGAAUUAAUACCGCAUGUGGUAGUAAUACUAAAGCCGGGGCAACCUGGCGCUUCUAGAGGGGCUCGCGGCCUAUCAGCUAGUUGGUGAGGUAACAGCUCACCAAGGCUAUGACGGGUAGCUGGUCUGAGAGGACGACCAGCCACACUGGAACUGAGACACGGUCCAGACACCUACGGGUGGCAGCAGUCGAGAAUUUUUCUCAAUGGGGGAAACCCUGAAGGAGCGACGCCGCGUGGAGGAUGAAGGUCUUCGGAUUGUAAACUCCUGUCAUUGGUGAACAAAGUCACAAGUUAACUGCUUUGUGAUAUGCUAGUAGCCGAAGAGGAAGGGACGGCUAACUCUGUGCCAGCCGCCGCGGUAAUUC
Molecule: ribosomal RNA, 523 nt
Filed under: uncultured bacterium
Lineage: Bacteria
Description: bacterial SSU rRNA
Rfam family: Bacterial small subunit ribosomal RNA
Source: RNAcentral